Molecule: long non-coding RNA, 1134 nt
Organism: Drosophila gunungcola (fruit fly)
Lineage: Eukaryota; Metazoa; Arthropoda; Insecta; Diptera; Drosophilidae
Exons: 3
Source: RefSeq, a predicted model, not a curated record
AUUUUGUCGUACUUUUUGAUUAAGUGCAUGGCGCAUAGCCGACCAACUCCGGACAUCGGGGCUGAACGGCCGAAUCGAGCCCAGAAUGUCGCAUUGAAAGAGGUCAAUCACCAGCGUCGCGAUUGCGCCUUGGAUGUCACUCGUGUAAUUGAGCGCAAUUUAUUUUAUUUGCUAACGAUUUUACGAUUUCGGUUAAUUAACUCUCAAAAAGCAGAAAGCCACCUAGUUGACAGAGCUACCGGUCCACCUAUGGAACCACAUCCACAUAGUGUACCCUGACCAAAGUAUAUGCUUAUAGAAUGAUUUGUAUUUGUGCAUGACUGACUCAGCCCGAGCAAUCGGCCAGAAAAGUAUGGGUUGCAAAUAAAAAGCGCAUAAUAGGCGUUUAAAUGCAAUUUUCUCCGCAAAAUGGUCGGCCGAAAUAUCAAAAAUUCGAAUUAUAUGUUUUGCAGCAUGUUGAUUAGAAUGAAAUAUGUGUGUGCGGAGGGUCGGUCAGCAGAAGCAAAAAACCAAGUCGACAAGCCGCACAGAAGUCCUCUCCCUUCUAGAAGAAAUAUUUGGGUAGCAUCUCACAUCCGAUGAGUCGGACAAGUCCAAGUCAAAGUCGGACUGCUUGUUCUUUUUCAGCACGGAGAAAAAUCAAAGUAAGCUCGGGAUGGAUGGAACUCUGGUCAAUAAUUUUGUGAGGGUGCCGCCAAAAGGGCAGAAGACGCUGCUCUAACUUUUUUUUUUCAUAUUUGCCCUGGUCUUUGUUUGAAAUAGAUUAUUGGCAAUACAUAUGUAUACAAAUAUUUUUAUUUCGUCUGGCGACGAGAGUUCAAGGAUUUUUAUUGGGUUCAGUGAACCAAAUGUCUUUCCUCCGGCCGGAAAUAUCGUAUUCGCUUUAAUUAUGGCCCCUCGUACAACUUAUUAAUAUAAGUUUGAUGAAAAGUGAAACACAAUGGGCACACACAGAUGUCAUCAUCUGCUGGAAAGCGCUGAAUAGUGCCAGUCAACCCAACGAAAUCAAUAUCCGCCUGUCGUAAGUGUGCUCCCUAAUGACUAUGGGCGUGGCAUUUAGGGGCUAAAGGUGGAGAAAGGGCAGAAAGGGUAAAAAGUGAGUUGAGGUAACCCGAGUACCCGACGAAAGUGAAG